GCCAGUGUGGCAUAGUGGUUUGAGUAUUAGACUGCAACUCUGGAGACCAGGGUUCAAUUCCCCUCUCAGCCA
Non-coding RNA from Phrynosoma platyrhinos (Desert horned lizard), 72 nucleotides. NCBI's taxonomy places the organism in Eukaryota, Metazoa, Chordata, Lepidosauria, Squamata, Phrynosomatidae. The record is from the annotation of a GenBank genome assembly.